Panicum virgatum (switchgrass) is the source of this 641-nucleotide long non-coding RNA. RefSeq lists it as uncharacterized. The transcript is spliced from 2 exons. The record is from RefSeq and is a predicted model, not a curated record. Lineage: Eukaryota; Viridiplantae; Streptophyta; Magnoliopsida; Poales; Poaceae.
CAAAGAAACCCUAUCCAGUCUCCUGUCUCCCAUCCCCAUCGGCAGAUCGCGCAGGCAGAGGCGGCAAGGGGCGACGGCGCGCCGCAUUGCCGCACGGCAGUCCCGCUCGAGCUCGACGCCGGGAGCCCGCGACACAGCGCAACCAGGAGCGAGCGCUGAGCAUCCGGCCAGGCGCGGGGAACGGUAGGCCGCUGGCGGCCCGCGCGCGGCACGCCUGCGCGGCCUGCACCCCUGUGACGGUGCUGCCAGGCAGGGUGCUAGCGUGCUCCUGCUGGCUGCUGCCGUGUUGGACUGAAUCGAGCCGAGGAGGUGCUAGUGCUGCAUAACUGCAGCCUGCAGGGGCCAGGGGGCCACAGCCAGCGCCCAGCACACCAGGAUAUGAGGGAAAAUGGAUGGGAGCCAUUACUCAAAAAGGUGAAAAUUUUCUGUGAGAAGAAUGAGAUUGAAGUGCCAAAUAUGGAUAAGGAAAUAAAUGUUAGAGGGACAUCCAGACGUAGAAAGCAAAAGGUAACAAACAUGCAUUACUAUCAUGUUCAGAUUUUUCUUGUCGUUAUUGAUGCCAUCUUGACUGAGCUGAAUCAUCAGUUUAGUGAAACUAGUUCAGAGUUAUUAGUUUGUAUGGCUUGUUUUAACCCAAGGAA